This 866-nucleotide small RNA is filed under the name Pongo abelii (Sumatran orangutan). RNAcentral's name for it is "sense intronic". Lineage: Eukaryota; Metazoa; Chordata; Mammalia; Primates; Hominidae. The record is from RNAcentral.
GUUCAUGAGAUCGAGACCAUCCUGGCUAACACGGUGAAACCCCAUCUCUAAUAAAAAUAAAAAAUAAAAAUAAUUAGCUGGGCGUGGUGGCACAGGCCUGUAGUCCCAGCUACUCGGGAGGCUGAGGCAGGAGAAUCACUUGAACUUGGGAGGCAGAGGUUGCAGUGAGCCAAGAUCGCACAACUGCACUCCAGCCUGGGCGACAGAGCAAGACAGAAAAGACUUCGUAUCUACAGUCUUGUUCCUAGACACCCUUCCUGCUUUAUCUCCUAUUAUGUCCCAUCACUAUACUUGCUGUUCUCCAAAAACAUUAUUCUUGCAUUAUUCUUUGCUGUUCCCAAGCCUAAAAUGCCCUCUCAUUACUGCCUUCUCAAAUUCUAUUCAGAGCCCAAUUCAAAUGCCUUCUUAAAUGUGGAGUUCUCCCAAACCCUGAAAUAAAUGUAAAUGGUCUCUCUUCAGUGUGUGAAACGCUUGAUUAGGUGGACACAGAUAAUUCGUUUAUUAACUAUUUAUAAAGUGUGCAUAUACACUGUAUGUACUUUUCUGAACAUGAAUUAUAGCUAACAGAAGUAUUUAAAUAAAAGUUAUACUUUUGCAGCCUAAUCAAGCCCAGUAUUACCUUGACUUACUUUCCCCACUAAACUCAUUAAAGGCCCAUUUGUGGUAAUCUUUAUGUUUCUCAAUAUGCCAUACAUAUAACCAAUAAUUAGUCUGUGAUAAAUACUCUCUUUACAGAGUUGACUCAUAUGAAGACCAUCUUGGUCACACUAAAGGAUACAGAACUACACACACACACACACACACACACACACACAAGUUCACGUAUAAAUCUGAACAAGCUCUGUGGAUUGUACCCAUGUCCAUUU